This 478-nucleotide ribosomal RNA is filed under the name uncultured bacterium. RNAcentral's name for it is "partial 16S ribosomal RNA". It matches the Rfam family "Bacterial small subunit ribosomal RNA", at positions 28 to 507 of the family's 1533-position model. The record is from RNAcentral.
GACGAACGCUGGCGGCGUGCUUAACACAUGCAAGUCGAACGGGAUUUAGUAGACAGAAGCCUCGGCUAAAGAAUACGAAUGAGAGUGGCGAACGGGUGAGUAACGCGUGAGCAACCUGCCUAUGGCAGUGGGAUAGCCUCGGGAAACCGGGAUUAAUACCGCAUAAAAGCGUAGAAAAACAUGUUUCAACGGUCAAAGAUUUAUCGGUCAUAGAUGGGCUCGCGUCUGAUUAGCUAGUUGGUGAGAUAACAGCCCACCAAGGCGACGAUCAGUAGCCGGUCUGAGAGGGUGACCGGCCACAUUGGAACUGGGACACGGUCCCAACUCCUACGGGAGGCAGCAGUGGGGAAUAUUGCACCAUGGGGGAAACCCUGAUGCAGCGACGCCGCGUGAACGAAGAAGGUAUUCGUAUCGUAAAGUUCUGUCCUAUGGGAAGAUAAUGACAGUACCAUAGGAGAAAGCUCCGGCUAAAUACGUG